GCCUGAUCCAGCAAUGCCGCGUGUGUGAAGAAGGCCUCUCGGGUUGUAAAGCACUUUUGUCCGGAAAGAAAUCCUUGGCUCUAAUACAGUCGGGGGAUGACGGUACCGGAAGAAUAAGCACCGGCUAACUACGUGCCAGCAGCCGCGGUAAUACGUAGGGUGCGAGCGUUAAUCGGAAUUACUGGGCGUAAAGCGUGCGCAGGCGGUUUGCUAAGACCGAUGUGAAAUCCCCGGGCUCAACCUGGGAACUGCAUUGGUGACUGGCAGGCUAGAGUAUGGCAGAGGGGGGUAGAAUUCCACGUGUAGCAGUGAAAUGCGUAGAGAUGUGGAGGAAUACCGAUGGCGAAGGCAGCCCCCUGGGCCAAUACUGACGCUCAUGCACGAAAGCGUGGGGAGCAAACAGGAUUAGAUACCCUGGUAGUCCACGCCCUAAACGAUGUCAACUAGUUGUUGGGGAUUCAUUUCCUUAGUAACGUAGCUAACGCGUGAAGUUGACCGCCUGGGGAGUACGGUCGCAAGAUUAAAACUCAAAGGAAUUGACGGGGACCCGCACAAGCGGUGGAUGAUGUGGAUUAAUUCGAUGCAACGCGAAAAACCUUACCUACCCUUGACAUGGUCGGAAUCCUGCUG
RNAcentral lists this ribosomal RNA (630 nucleotides) under Burkholderia sp. IBa250. Its description in RNAcentral is "bacterial SSU rRNA". It matches the Rfam family "Bacterial small subunit ribosomal RNA", at positions 381 to 1003 of the family's 1533-position model. Lineage: Bacteria; Pseudomonadati; Pseudomonadota; Betaproteobacteria; Burkholderiales; Burkholderiaceae. The record is from RNAcentral.